UUGAAAACCUACACCACCUUUGCAACCUGAUCUCCUCAGAUCUCAGAAGCUAAGCAAGGCUGGGCUGGCCAGCACUGGGAGGGGAGACCUCUAAGGAAAACCAGGUUGCUGCUGUAA
RNAcentral lists this ribosomal RNA (117 nucleotides) under Lepisosteus oculatus (spotted gar). The record is from RNAcentral. Lineage: Eukaryota; Metazoa; Chordata; Actinopteri; Semionotiformes; Lepisosteidae.